Corticium candelabrum is the source of this 834-nucleotide long non-coding RNA. RefSeq lists it as uncharacterized. Lineage: Eukaryota; Metazoa; Porifera; Homoscleromorpha; Homosclerophorida; Plakinidae. The transcript has 3 exons. The record is from RefSeq and is a predicted model, not a curated record.
CGCAUCAGUCACGUGACAGCAGCAAUAUCCAUUCGACGACGACAAGACUCAAAGACGACGGGUAGCCAAUCGAAACUUGCAGCGUAGUGAUGUAGCUCACGAAGAAGCCUUCCUUCUGGCGUAGUAUCCCAGGCAGGCGAAGAUCCCAAGAAUCCCGAUAACCAAGCCCAGCACGAGCGCAAUUGCAUCUCCGGCAUCAAACGCACUCACAGUCGGCACUAGAGCAGCCAGCAAAGUCACCAGUACAAACAGCAAAGCGCGCUCCAUCGUCUCGGUAGCUUCGUGACGUUUCCUUUGCACGCAUGCGUGGGGCCUCCAACGUGUAAUUUUUUGCAGCAGCAUCAUCAUCUCGUGAGAUAUUAGAGAUACUAACAAGAAUACCAGCAGUUCGAGUGAAUGUAUAAUGUGGGUGUACCCGCAAUUCAUUGAUCUUGUUACUGAAGUACAUGAAUAUCAGUCAUUGUUACCAUCUAUGUGUUACAGACGGGUACCAUAUUUCUCUGAAUAACUCACGUGACAUCAAAAUGCCCAAGAUGGAUGUCUGAUGUCUGUUUUCAGAAUGGGAGCUAGAGCAUAUAUCAAGAACUCGGGUGAAGCUCAAAUGCUGAAGUAGCAGUGAAGAUGAUGAAAAUCCUCUUAUUAACUUUAUGGUAGUGUGGUAGUGACUCUGAUGCUCUAAGUGACUCAGAACUGUUAUCAAAGACAGCUUGAUUUUACCGGUAUUUCAUGAACCGCGAAGCUAAAAUAUGUUAAUUCCCUAUCUUGAUUAAUUUCCCUAUUGACUGACCACCAAAAAUAUUGAAUCCCUGGAAAUUGCUGUGAGAAACAAGGUAC